This is a long non-coding RNA of Pezoporus occidentalis (night parrot), 1450 nucleotides long. RefSeq lists it as uncharacterized. The transcript is spliced from 3 exons. The record is from RefSeq and is a predicted model, not a curated record. NCBI's taxonomy places the organism in Eukaryota, Metazoa, Chordata, Aves, Psittaciformes, Psittacidae.
UUUGUAGUAGUUUUUGAUCUUAUGUUGAAGAUUUUAAGUUGUCUUUCAGGCCUGGAUUCUGCAUGCUAUGGUGUUGAGUUAAUUGUGAGCUUUAUGGGAGUCUUUUCUUGAAAGAUCAUUCAGUUCCAUUUUCUCCUUAGAAAAAUGUCAUGUGAGGCAUCUGUGAACCCAUGAGAGAAAAUGAAAGCUUACACUUAAUAAAAUGCAUUUACCUGCAUAUAAACUGUGACUGGCUGUAUUGAACUUCCCUGAGCACUGCUGUUAUUAUAUGCCAUACAUCUUCCACAGACAUACAAGACUUAAGGUCAGUGGGGAACAAAAUGUUUUGUAUAAAUGCUAGUAUUGAAGACUCCUUCAUCUCCUGAAGCUGUUGUGCCUGAAGAAGUGUCAAAUAGGAUGAGAAAAUUUACUAAAAGAACUAUUGCUUGGCUUCACACUCAGCUGCUUCUCCCAGAUCAACACUUGCAGCUGCAAAGGGUUUCUCUGAAUAGAUACACAGUAUUUGCGGUCCAGCCCACAGAGAUUUUACAGCAGAGGGAAGUAGAGGGAGAAAGAAAGGGAGUGAGGGAGGAAGGAAAUAAAAAUGGAAAACCUUGAGUGUCUUCAUGUGCUGAGAAGGCUGAAAGAAGAAAUGUUCUCUCCACUGCACUUCAGGACUGUCAUAUGCUGUGACGCAUUUCCCCUUCUGGCAGCUCCUACACAAGGAGGUGUGUCUGAAGCACUCUCUCAGUAUGAAGUGACACCAGAAGAGGGUUUAGAGAAGUCAGUGGAAAGAUAAGAAUCAAACUGAUGACAUCAGGCAACAUGAUCCAACUUAAUGACCUUCAGAAGUUUUCUGAGAAUCACUCAGAUGAAAACUGUACCAAAAGAUGAGUCACAGAAGAGCUUGGGGAUAAGCAUUACCUGUUGUGCCUGCAACUCCUUUCUUUGUUCUCAGUAAAUGUGAUUCAGACCAUUUCUGGGGUGGAUGCGGCAGUUUUGCUUUCAGGCUAUUGGAAAGCAGACUCCUGCUGUUGUUUCCAAGGAACUGGUUUUCUCAUGGCAGUAGGUUUUAUUUUCAUUAGGUGUAGGGUUUUUCUUCUUUUCUAGCUCUCAGGUGUAGAGUAAGAGGUUCCUUGCUGUUUUCCGGCUUCCCCUCUCAGUAUCCUCCUAUGGCACAUCGUGACAUGGCAGCUAAGCAACUCUUCUGCUCUGCCUCCACAGGCGUGCUAUUUCCACUCUGUAAUUUUUAAGAAAGUGGAUGAUUUUCCUCCUUCGCUUCUUUCUCUGACAUGUAAGUAAUUCCCCAUCCUACCAAAUAAAUCAAAAGCAGCAUGAGCUGGAAGAUGUCAGGUGUGAACAACAAGGAAAACAAAUAAAUAACCCCUAAACCCCCUCCCAAAUCUCACUGAUUUUGAGCUUAGUCCUGUCUUUGAGUAAUUUUCUGAUUCUCACUGGGUUCCAUACAGUG